GCGGGUGUAGUUUAAUGGUAAAACUCAGCCUUCAAGCUGGCUACGGAGUUCGAUUCUCCUCACCCGCUCAA
This 71-nucleotide transfer RNA is filed under the name Erysipelothrix piscisicarius. RNAcentral describes it as "tRNA-OTHER". It matches the Rfam family "tRNA". Rfam says of the family: Transfer RNA (tRNA) molecules are approximately 80 nucleotides in length. Their secondary structure includes four short double-helical elements and three loops (D, anti-codon, and T loops). Lineage: Bacteria; Bacillati; Bacillota; Erysipelotrichia; Erysipelotrichales; Erysipelotrichaceae. The record is from RNAcentral.